This 505-nucleotide ribosomal RNA is filed under the name uncultured bacterium. RNAcentral describes it as "partial 16S ribosomal RNA". It matches the Rfam family "Bacterial small subunit ribosomal RNA", at positions 28 to 507 of the family's 1533-position model. The record is from RNAcentral.
GACGAACGCUGGCGGCGUGCCUAAUACAUGCAAGUAGAACGCACAGUUUAUACCGUAGCUUGCUACACCAUAAACUGUGAGUUGCGAACGGGUGAGUAACGCGUAGGUAACCUGCCUGGUAGCGGGGGAUAACUAUUGGAAACGAUAGCUAAUACCGCAUAAUAUUGAUUAUUGCAUGAUAAUUGAUUGAAAGAUGCUAUUGCAUCACUACCAGAUGGACCUGCGUUGUAUUAGCUAGUAGGUGAGGUAACGGCUCACCUAGGCGACGAUACAUAGCCGACCUGAGAGGGUGAUCGGCCACACUGGGACUGAGACACGGCCCAGACUCCUACGGGAGGCAGCAGUAGGGAAUCUUCGGCAAUGGACGAAAGUCUGACCGAGCAACGCCGCGGGAGGGAAGAAGGUUUUCGGAUCGGAAAGCUCUGUUGUAAGAGAAGAACGGGUGUGAGAGUGGAAAGUUCACACUGUGACGGUAUCUUACCAGAAAGGGACGGCUAACUACGUG